This is a long non-coding RNA of Trifolium pratense (red clover), 1407 nucleotides long. RefSeq lists it as uncharacterized. Lineage: Eukaryota; Viridiplantae; Streptophyta; Magnoliopsida; Fabales; Fabaceae. The record is from RefSeq and is a predicted model, not a curated record. The transcript is spliced from 3 exons.
AGAUGUAAUGGGGAAUCCUUUUUUUACGAUUUCUUAAUUUCUUUUUUUACAAAUAUAAUUGGUUUUAUUAGGUUUGGUAUUAGUUAAUCUUGUAAUAGUUUCAUGAUUCAAUCCCUAGUCUGUUAUUAUGAUAUAUUAUUAUUGCUGCAUAGCCUACCAAUUGUUGUGUGCAAAUAUUUGAAAUCAAAGGACUUAUUUACACUACUUUUGGUGUUGUUUUUUCUACUGUGUAACUGUGGUUUUGGAACAAUUUACCUUCUUGGCUGCAGACUUAGGUGACAGAAGAAUGAUUUUCUUUUGUUGAUUAAACAAAAAGGUAUUGAGCAUUUUGAAGCAACAUCACCAAACUUUUGUCAUGAUGGGUAUCUCUUGUUAGUGCAUUAAAGUUCACCAAUAUGUGAUAAUGCUAUGAGUAAGAGCAUUAAAUCUGAUUUCUAUACUGAGGUAUAAAUUCAUGAUUUGUAUAUUGAUUUGAUCUUGGUAUUUUUUUACUUGAAUCUGGCCUGAUAGUUAAUAAAGUUAACAUGUACUAAGGCUUGAUGCAUGAUGUAUCCAACAAUCUAUUAUAAUAAUUGCUAAAAGAGGAAAAUAAUUUGCUUUUGUUAGUAUAAAAACUCAGACCAGGUACAUGAGUGCCUAUGGAGAUUUUGCACAAAAUUUGUGCUUGGACUAGUGUGUCAUGAACUCAGGUAUUAACAAUCAUGAAAUCAGUGGUUUAGUGAUCGAGAAUUCUUAAAUUUGAAUUUUCUUGUUAUAUGCUCGCAAAAGUUUGAAGGAAGAUUAGUUUGAGAAUAUGAUUGACAUUCUAUUUUGGUUGUGUGUGUGUGUGUGUGUGUGUAUCCUUGAUAACAAGUAAACUAAGGGGAAGGAAGGAAGGUAAAACUGUUAUGGUGGAGGAGACGAUGACUGGUCCGUGUUUAUGAAGUUUCAGCCAUUAAGGUUUGAACACUUAGGUUUACCACUUACCAAGUUGGGAAAGGUAUAUGAUCAAAAGUCUCAAAGGCAUGUCGAAUAACUAAUUGGAAAAAGUUUGUUGUCAAUGAGAGACAUAUGAAAACAAAUGAGUAUAUGCCAACAAUGGUGGUUGUUGGCAAGACAAAAACUGCCAACAUUAUGCACGCAAGGUUAUCAAUGGUGUCUUUCAUUGGUGCUUCUACUCUUCAAUUGAAAAAUCAAGGAUGUGAUUUUGGCUUAUCAAUGGUGUCUUUUUUAUCUUUAGUUAGUUUUGUGAUUUUUCCAUCUCAUUGCUUAUCAAUGCUAAGGAAUGCACUUAUAUGCUUUGUAAUUCUUAUAUUGAUUAGUUUAAAUGCAUAUAAAUUGUAUUUGGAUUUGAAGAUAUAUGUUGUAUACUUGUAUUCUAGUAAAUUGUAAUUAGAUUUGAGUUGUUUAUAUUCUGUUUAUGAUCAA